AUACCCUAGUUAUUUCAAAUCUCUUUCUCUCUCGCUUUCAGAACAACGGAGCUCGAUUUCAAAAUAUCGGAGCUCUCUUUCUCUCCUCUUGCCUUCUCUACGAAUCGCAGAGGUUGGGCUUCAAUCGGUGUGAGAUUUGGUGAAGAUUCCUUUUCUAAAGUCUGAGAUUGAUGGUCUGCACCAGGAGCUUAUGCAUGCUAGAAGUGUAAUUGAUUAUGAAAAGAAGGCAAAUAUUGAGCUUAUGGAACAGAGACAGGCAAUGGAGAAUAACCUAGUUUCUAUGGCUCGUGAAGUUGAGAAACUUCGUGCAGAACUUGCUAGAGUUGAUGGUAGACCGUGGGGUGC
This is a long non-coding RNA of Rosa chinensis, 345 nucleotides long. RefSeq lists it as uncharacterized. Lineage: Eukaryota; Viridiplantae; Streptophyta; Magnoliopsida; Rosales; Rosaceae. The record is from RefSeq and is a predicted model, not a curated record. The transcript has 3 exons.